Molecule: ribosomal RNA, 353 nt
Filed under: Zagrammosoma sp. D0129
Lineage: Eukaryota; Metazoa; Arthropoda; Insecta; Hymenoptera; Eulophidae
Description: eukaryotic LSU rRNA
Rfam family: Eukaryotic large subunit ribosomal RNA
Source: RNAcentral
AGGACCCGUCUUGAAACACGGACCAAGGAGUCUAACAUGUGCGCGAGUCAUUGGGACUGCAAAGCCUAAAGGCGCAAUGAAAGUGAAGGUCGAUCUUAGCGUCGACCGAGGGAGGAUGGCUCGCGUUACGAUGCGAGCUCGCACUCCCGGGGCGUCUCGUGCUCAUUGCGAGCAGAGGCGCACCCAGAGCGUACACGUUGGGACCCGAAAGAUGGUGAACUAUGCCUGGUCAGGACGAAGUCAGGGGAAACCCUGAUGGAGGUCCGUAGCGAUUCUGACGUGCAAAUCGAUCGUCGGAACUGGGUAUAGGGGCGAAAGACUAAUCGAACCAUCUAGUAGCUGGUUCCCUCCGA